AAGUCCCACAACGAGCGCAACCCUCGACCUUAGUUGCCAGCAUUCAGUUGGGCACUCUAAGGUGACUGCCGGCUAAAAGUCGGAGGAAGGUGGGGGAUGACGUCAAAUCAUCAUGCCCCUUAUGACCUGGGCUACACACGUGCUACAAUGGGCGGUACAAAGGGUCGCGAACCCGCAGGGGGAGCCAAUCCCAAAAAGCCGCUCUCAGUUCGGAUUGCAGGCUGCAACUCGCCUGCAUGAAGCCGGAAUCGCUAGUAAUCGCGGAUCAGAAUGCCGCGGUGAAUACGUUCCCGGGCCUU
RNAcentral lists this ribosomal RNA (299 nucleotides) under uncultured Anoxybacillus sp. RNAcentral describes it as "partial 16S ribosomal RNA". It matches the Rfam family "Bacterial small subunit ribosomal RNA", at positions 1082 to 1382 of the family's 1533-position model. Lineage: Bacteria; Bacillati; Bacillota; Bacilli; Caryophanales; Anoxybacillaceae. The record is from RNAcentral.